Molecule: transfer RNA, 71 nt
Filed under: Ovis aries (sheep)
Lineage: Eukaryota; Metazoa; Chordata; Mammalia; Artiodactyla; Bovidae
Rfam family: tRNA
About the family: Transfer RNA (tRNA) molecules are approximately 80 nucleotides in length.
Source: Rfam by way of RNAcentral
UUCCCAAUGGUCCAGUGUUUAAGACUCUGCUUCCACUGCAGGGAAUGCAGGUUCAAUUCCUGGUUGGGGAA